GCCACCUUAGCUCAGUCGGUAGAGCAACUGUUUCGUAAAUAGUAGGUCGCGGGUUCGAAUCCCACAGGUGGCU
Molecule: transfer RNA, 73 nt
Filed under: Desulfobulbaceae bacterium
Lineage: Bacteria; Pseudomonadati; Thermodesulfobacteriota; Desulfobulbia; Desulfobulbales; Desulfobulbaceae
Also listed under: 1 other name
Description: tRNA-Thr
Rfam family: tRNA
About the family: Transfer RNA (tRNA) molecules are approximately 80 nucleotides in length. Their secondary structure includes four short double-helical elements and three loops (D, anti-codon, and T loops). Further hydrogen bonds mediate the characteristic L-shaped molecular structure. tRNAs have two regions of fundamental functional importance: the anti-codon, which is responsible for specific mRNA codon recognition, and the 3' end, to which the tRNAs corresponding amino acid is attached (by aminoacyl-tRNA synthetases). tRNAs cope with the degeneracy of the genetic code in two manners: having more than one tRNA (with a specific anti-codon) for a particular amino acid; and 'wobble' base-pairing, i.e. permitting non-standard base-pairing at the 3rd anti-codon position.
Source: RNAcentral